Molecule: transfer RNA, 89 nt
Filed under: Clostridia bacterium
Lineage: Bacteria; Bacillati; Bacillota; Clostridia
Description: tRNA-Ser
Rfam family: tRNA
About the family: Transfer RNA (tRNA) molecules are approximately 80 nucleotides in length. Their secondary structure includes four short double-helical elements and three loops (D, anti-codon, and T loops).
Source: RNAcentral
GCAGAGGUGGCCGAGUGGUUUAAGGCGCACGCUUGGAAAGCGUGUGAGGUCAUAAGCCUCCGCAGGUUCAAAUCCUGUCCUCUGCGCCA